UGGGGAAUAUUGGACAAUGGGGGCAACCCUGAUCCAGCAAUGCCGCGUGUGUGAAGAAGGUUUUCGGAUUGUAAAGCACUUUCGACGGGGACGAUGAUGACGGUACCCGUAGAAGAAGCCCCGGCUAACUUCGUGCCAGCAGCCGCGGUAAUACGAAGGGGGCUAGCGUUGCUCGGAAUGACUGGGCGUAAAGGGCGUGUAGGCGGUUUGUACAGUCAGAUGUGAAAUCCCCGGGCUUAACCUGGGAGCUGCAUUUGAUACGUGCAGACUAGAGUGUGAGAGAGGGUUGUGGAAUUCCCAGUGUAGAGGUGAAAUUCGUAGAUAUUGGGAAGAACACCGGUGGCGAAGGCGGCAACCUGGCUCAUAACUGACGCUGAGGCGCGAAAGCGUGGGGAGCAAACAGGAUUAGAUACCCUGGUAGUCCACGCUGUAAACGAUGUGUGCUAGAUGUUGGGUAACUUAGUUAUUCAGUGUCGCAGUUAACGCGUUAAGCACACCGCCUGGGGAGUACGGCCGCAAGGUUGAA
Molecule: ribosomal RNA, 526 nt
Filed under: uncultured bacterium
Lineage: Bacteria
Description: partial 16S ribosomal RNA
Rfam family: Bacterial small subunit ribosomal RNA
Source: RNAcentral